This 497-nucleotide ribosomal RNA is filed under the name uncultured bacterium. RNAcentral describes it as "partial 16S ribosomal RNA". It matches the Rfam family "Bacterial small subunit ribosomal RNA", at positions 28 to 507 of the family's 1533-position model. The record is from RNAcentral.
GAUGAACGCUGGCGGCGUGCCUAAUACAUGCAAGUCGAGCGAACGGACGAGAAGCUUGCUUCUCUGAUGUUAGCGGCGGACGGGUGAGUAACACGUGGAUAACCUACCUAUAAGACUGGGAUAACUUCGGGAAACCGGAGCUAAUACCGGAUAAUAUUUUGAACCGCAUGGUUCAAAAGUGAAAGACGGUCUUGCUGUCACUUAUAGAUGGAUCCGCGCUGCAUUAGCUAGUUGGUAAGGUAACGGCUUACCAAGGCAACGAUGCAUAGCCGACCUGAGAGGGUGAUCGGCCACACUGGAACUGAGACACGGUCCAGACUCCUACGGGAGGCAGCAGUAGGGAAUCUUCCGCAAUGGGCGAAAGCCUGACGGAGCGACGCCGCGUGAGUGAUGAAGGUCUUCGGAUCGUAAAACCCUGUUAUUAGGGAAGAACAUAUGUGUAAGUAACUGUGCACAUCUUGACGGUACCUAAUCAGAAAGCCACGGCUAACUACGUG